RNAcentral lists this ribosomal RNA (497 nucleotides) under uncultured bacterium. RNAcentral describes it as "partial 16S ribosomal RNA". It matches the Rfam family "Bacterial small subunit ribosomal RNA", at positions 28 to 507 of the family's 1533-position model. The record is from RNAcentral.
GAUGAACGCUGGCGGCGUGCCUAAUACAUGCAAGUCGAGCGAACGGACGAGAAGCUUGCUUCUCUGAUGUUAGCGGCGGACGGGUGAGUAACACGUGGAUAACCUACCUAUAAGACUGGGAUAACUUCGGGAAACCGGAGCUAAUACCGGAUAAUAUUUUGAACCGCAUGGUUCAAAAGUGAAAGACGGUCUUGCUGUCACCUAUAGAUGGAUCCGCGCUGCAUUAGCUAGUUGGUAAGGUAACGGCUUACCAAGGCAACGAUGCAUAGCCGAUCUGUGAGGGUGAUCGGCCACACUGGAACUGAGACACGGUCCAGACUCCUACGGGAGGCAGCAGUAGGGAAUCUUCCGCAAUGGGCGAAAGCCUGACGGAGCAACGCCGCGUGAGUGAUGAGGGUCUUCGGAUCGUAAAACUCUGUUAUUAGGGAAGAACAUAUGUGUAAGUAACUGUGCACAUCUUGACGGUACCUAAUCAGAAAGCCACGGCUAACUACGUG